CCAAAAGUGGUUGACGCCAUGCUUUCAAGAAAAGCUUCGAAAGUGAGUGAUGCUAGUAUCCGUACUAAAACUGACACAGGUAGGCGAGGAGAAAAUCCUAAGGCGCGCGAGGGAAUCCUCGUUAAGGAACUCGGCAAAUUGACCCCGUAACUUCGGGAGAAGGGGUGCCCUGUUUGGUGAAGCUCCUACGAAUGGAGCCGAAUGGGGCCGCAGGAAAGCGGUCCAAGCGACUGUUUACUAAAAACACAGGACUCUGCCAAGGCCAAAAGCCGAUGUAUAGAGUCUGACGUCUGCUCGGUGCUGGAAGGUUAAGGGAACAGGUCAGCGACCUCGGUCGCGAAGCUUCGAACCGAAGCCCCAGUUAACGGCGGCCGUAACUAUGACGGUCCUAAGGUAGCGAAGUUCCUUGUCGGGUAAGUUCCGACCUGCAUGAAUGACGACACGACUUGGGUACUGUCUCAACGAGGAGCUCGGCGAAAUUGUAGCAACGGUGAAGAUGCCGUUUACCCGCAACAAGACGGAAAGACCCCGUGAACCUUUACUAUAGCAUGGUAUUGUGUUUUGACGCAAGAUGUGUAGGAUAGGUGGGAGGCGAAGAAGAAGAGGCGCUAGCCUUUUCAGAGCCGUCAGUGAAAUACCACCCUUGUUGUGUUAGAAUUCUAACUGCGUUCUGUGAAUCCAGGCGCAAGACAGUGCUAUGUGGGUAGUUUGACUGGGGCGGUCUCCUCCUAAAAAGUAACGGAGGAGUCCAAAGGUAUCCUCAGCAUGGUUGGCAAUCAUGCAAAGAGCGUAAAGGUAGAAGGAUGCUUGACUGUGAGACUAAUGUGUCGAACAGAUACGAAAGUAGGGCUUAGUGAUCCGGUGAUACCUAGUGGUAGGGUCAUCGCUCAACAGAUAAAAGGUACUCCGGGGAUAACAGGCUGAUCGCUUCCAAGAGUUCAUAUCGACGAGGCGGUUUGGCACCUCGAUGUCGGCUCAUCGCAUCCUGGGGCUGAAGAAGGUCCCAAGGGUUUGGCUGUUCGCCAAUUAAAGCGGUACGUGAGUUGGGUUUAGACCGUCGUGAGACAGGUCGGUCCCUAUCUGCCGUGGGUGUAGGAAACUUGAGGAGGCUUAUUCCUAGUACGAGAGGAUCGGAGUGGACGGACCUCUGGUGCGCCAGUUGUUCUGCCAAGAGCAUAGCUGGGUAGCCAACGUCCGGAAAGGAUAAGCGCUGAAAGCAUAUAAGUGCGAAGCCCGCUCCAAAACCAGGUUUCCCUGAAGGGCCCAGAAAGACUACCUGGUUGAUAGGCUGGGUGUGUAAGUGCAGCAAUGCAUUGAGCUUACCAGUACUAAUCGCCCGUACGACUUAAAUCU
RNAcentral lists this ribosomal RNA (1353 nucleotides) under metagenome. RNAcentral's name for it is "bacterial LSU rRNA". It matches the Rfam family "Bacterial large subunit ribosomal RNA", at positions 1584 to 2925 of the family's 2925-position model. The record is from RNAcentral.